Molecule: ribosomal RNA, 912 nt
Filed under: Staphylococcus aureus
Lineage: Bacteria; Bacillati; Bacillota; Bacilli; Caryophanales; Staphylococcaceae
Description: partial 23S ribosomal RNA
Rfam family: Bacterial large subunit ribosomal RNA
Source: RNAcentral
AUAGAAAAUAGGUGCCCGUACCGCAAACCGACACAGGUAGUCAAGAUGAGAAUUCUAAGGUGAGCGAGCGAACUCUCGUUAAGGAACUCGGCAAAAUGACCCCGUAACUUCGGGAGAAGGGGUGCUCUUUAGGGUUAACGCCCAGAAGAGCCGCAGUGAAUAGGCCCAAGCGACUGUUUAUCAAAAACACAGGUCUCUGCUAAACCGUAAGGUGAUGUAUAGGGGCUGACGCCUGCCCGGUGCUGGAAGGUUAAGAGGAGUGGUUAGCUUCUGCGAAGCUACGAAUCGAAGCCCCAGUAAACGGCGGCCGUAACUAUAACGGUCCUAAGGUAGCGAAAUUCCUUGUCGGGUAAGUUCCGACCCGCACGAAAGGCGUAACGAUUUGGGCACUGUCUCAACGAGAGACUCGGUGAAAUCAUAGUACCUGUGAAGAUGCAGGUUACCCGCGACAGGACGGAAAGACCCCGUGGAGCUUUACUGUAGCCUGAUAUUGAAAUUCGGCACAGCUUGUACAGGAUAGGUAGGAGCCUUUGAAACGUGAGCGCUAGCUUACGUGGAGGCGCUGGUGGGAUACUACCCUAGCUGUGUUGGCUUUCUAACCCGCACCACUUAUCGUGGUGGGAGACAGUGUCAGGCGGGCAGUUUGACUGGGGCGGUCGCCUCCUAAAAGGUAACGGAGGCGCUCAAAGGUUCCCUCAGAAUGGUUGGAAAUCAUUCAUAGAGUGUAAAGGCAUAAGGGAGCUUGACUGCGAGACCUACAAGUCGAGCAGGGUCGAAAGACGGACUUAGUGAUCCGGUGGUUCCGCAUGGAAGGGCCAUCGCUCAACGGAUAAAAGCUACCCCGGGGAUAACAGGCUUAUCUCCCCCAAGAGUUCACAUCGACGGGGAGGUUUGGCACCUCGAUGUCGGCUC